AGAGUUUGAUCCUGGCUCAGAUUGAACGCUGGCGGCAUGCCUUACACAUGCAAGUCGAACGGUAGAGGGGCAACCCUCGAGAGUGGCGAACGGGUGAGUAAUGCAUCGGAACGUGCCCAGUAGUGGGGGAUAGCCCGGCGAAAGCCGGAUUAAUACCGCAUACGACCUACGGGUGAAAGCGGGGGAUCGCAAGACCUCGCGCUAUUGGAGCGGCCGAUGUCAGAUUAGGUAGUUGGUGGGGUAAAAGCCUACCAAGCCGACGAUCUGUAGCUGGUCUGAGAGGACGACCAGCCACACUGGGACUGAGACACGGCCCAGACUCCUACGGGAGGCAGCAGUGGGGAAUUUUGGACAAUGGGCGAAAGCCUGAUCCAGCCAUGCCGCGUGCGGGAAGAAGGCCUUCGGGUUGUAAACCGCUUUGUCAGGAAAGAAAUCCUUUGGGCUAAUACCCUGAGGGGAUGACGGUACCUGAAGAAUAAGCACCGGCUAACUACGUGCCAGCAGCCGCGGUAAUACGUAGGGUGCAAGCGUUAAUCGGAAUUACUGGGCGUAAAGCGUGCGCAGGCGGUUGUGCAAGACAGAUGUGAAAUCCCCGGGCUUAACCUGGGAACUGCAUUUGUGACUGCACGGCUAGAGUACGGUAGAGGGGGGAUGGAAUUCCGCGUGUAGCAGUAGAAAUGCGUAGAUAUGCGGAGGAACACCGAUGGCGAAGGCACGUCCCCCUGGACCUGUACUGACGCUCAUGCACGAAAGCGUGGGGGAGCAAACAGGAUUAGAUACCCUGGUAGUCCACGCCCUAAACGAUGUCAACUGGUUGUUGGGAAGGUUCCUUCUCAGUAACGU
RNAcentral lists this ribosomal RNA (843 nucleotides) under Penium margaritaceum. Its description in RNAcentral is "bacterial SSU rRNA". It matches the Rfam family "Bacterial small subunit ribosomal RNA", at positions 8 to 849 of the family's 1533-position model. The record is from RNAcentral. Lineage: Eukaryota; Viridiplantae; Streptophyta; Zygnematophyceae; Desmidiales; Peniaceae.